GAUGAACGCUGGCGGUCUGCUUAACACAUGCAAGUCGAACGGGCUCUUUCGGGAGCUAGUGGCGGACGGGUGAGUAACGCGUGAGAAUCUGCCCUUUGGAGGGGGAUAACGGUUGGAAACGACCGCUAAUACCCCAUGUGCCGAGAGGUAAAAAGUAAAUCGCCAAGGGAUGAGCUCGCGUCGGAUUAGCUAGUUGGUGGGGUAAGAGCCCACCAAGGCGACGAUCCGUAGCUGGUCUGAGAGGAUGACCAGCCACACUGGGACUGAGACACGGCCCAGACUCCUACGGGAGGCAGCAGUGGGGAAUUUUCCGCAAUGGGCGCAAGCCUGACGGAGCAAGACCGCGUGAGGGAAGACGGUCUGUGGAUUGUAAACCUCUUUUGACAGGGAAGAAGUACUGACGGUACCUGUCGAAUCAGCCUCGGCUAACUCCGUG
RNAcentral lists this ribosomal RNA (436 nucleotides) under uncultured bacterium. RNAcentral describes it as "partial 16S ribosomal RNA". It matches the Rfam family "Bacterial small subunit ribosomal RNA", at positions 28 to 507 of the family's 1533-position model. The record is from RNAcentral.